RNAcentral lists this ribosomal RNA (252 nucleotides) under uncultured bacterium. RNAcentral's name for it is "partial 16S ribosomal RNA". It matches the Rfam family "Bacterial small subunit ribosomal RNA", at positions 524 to 776 of the family's 1533-position model. The record is from RNAcentral.
UACGGAGGGUGCAAGCGUUAUCCGGAUUCACUGGGUUUAAAGGGUGCGUAGGUGGGCAGGUAAGUCAGUGGUGAAAUCUCCGGGCUUAACCCGGAAACUGCCAUUGAUACUAUCAGUCUUGAAUACCGUGGAGGUAAGCGGAAUAUGUCAUGUAGCGGUGAAAUGCUUAGAUAUGACAUAGAACACCAAUUGCGAAGGCAGCUUACUACCCGAUACUGACGCUGAGGUGCGAAAGCGUGGGGAGCAAACAGG